Molecule: ribosomal RNA, 509 nt
Filed under: uncultured Atractiellales
Lineage: Eukaryota; Fungi; Basidiomycota; Atractiellomycetes; Atractiellales
Description: bacterial SSU rRNA
Rfam family: Eukaryotic small subunit ribosomal RNA
Source: RNAcentral
AGCAGCCGCGGUAAUUCCAGCUCCAAUAGCGUAUGUUAAAGUUGCUGCCGUUAAAAAGCUCGUAGUCGAACUUCGGCUUCUGUCUGCCGGUCCGCCUUUUUGGUGUGUACUGGUCUUGAUGGAAGCUUACCUCUUGGUGGGUCGGCAUGCCCUUCGUUGGGUGUGUCGAUUAACCAGGACUUUUACUUUGAGAAAAUUAGAGUGUUCAAAGCAGGCUUUCGCCCGAAUACAUUAGCAUGGAAUAAUAGAAUAGGACGCGCGUCUUUAUUUUGUUGGUUUCUGAAUCACCGUAAUGAUUAAUAGGGAUAGUUGGGGGCAUUAGUAUUCAAUUGUCAGAGGUGAAAUUCUUGGAUUUAUUGAAGACUAACUACUGCGAAAGCAUUUGCCAAGGAUGUUUUCAUUAAUCAAGAACGAAAGUUAGGGGAUCGAAGACGAUCAGAUACCGUCGUAGUCUUAACCAUAAACUAUGCCGACUAGGGAUCGGAUGAUGUUAAUUUUUUAAUGACUCA